GACGCUGGCGGUGUGCUUCACACAUGCAAGUCGAACGAGGUAGCAAUACCUAGUGGCGGACGGGUGAGUAACGCGUGGGAAUCUGCCUUUAGAUGGGGGAUAACGGGUCGAAAGACUCGCUAAUACCGCAUAUGACGAAAGUUGAAAGGAGUAAUCCGUCUAAAGAUGAGCCCGCGUCCGAUUAGCUAGUUGGUAGAGUAAAAGCCUACCAAGGCGACGAUCGGUAGCUGGUCUGAGAGGAUGAUCAGCCACAAUGGGACUGAGACACGGCCCAUACUCCUACGGGAGGCAGCAGUGGGAAUUUACGCAAUGGGCGAAAGCCUGACGUAGCGACACCGCGUGAGCGAAGAAGCCUCUUGGGGUGUAAAGCUCUGUCAGCUGGAACGAAAAAAUGACGGUACCAGCAGAGGAAGCAUCGGCUAACUACGUG
RNAcentral lists this ribosomal RNA (430 nucleotides) under uncultured bacterium. RNAcentral's name for it is "bacterial SSU rRNA". It matches the Rfam family "Bacterial small subunit ribosomal RNA", at positions 33 to 507 of the family's 1533-position model. The record is from RNAcentral.